RNAcentral lists this ribosomal RNA (444 nucleotides) under Streptococcus australis. RNAcentral's name for it is "bacterial SSU rRNA". It matches the Rfam family "Bacterial small subunit ribosomal RNA", at positions 28 to 462 of the family's 1533-position model. Lineage: Bacteria; Bacillati; Bacillota; Bacilli; Lactobacillales; Streptococcaceae. The record is from RNAcentral.
GAUGAACGCUGGCGGCGUGCCUAAUACAUGCAAGUAGAACGCUGAAGGAAGGAGCUUGCUCUUUCCGGAUGAGUUGCGAACGGGUGAGUAACGCGUAGGUAACCUGCCUGGUAGCGGGGGAUAACUAUUGGAAACGAUAGCUAAUACCGCAUAACAGUAGAUGUUGCAUGACAUUUACUUGAAAGGUGCAAUUGCAUCACUACCAGAUGGACCUGCGUUGUAUUAGCUAGUUGGUGAGGUAACGGCUCACCAAGGCGACGAUACAUAGCCGACCUGAGAGGGUGAUCGGCCACACUGGGACUGAGACACGGCCCAGACUCCUACGGGAGGCAGCAGUAGGGAAUCUUCGGCAAUGGACGGAAGUCUGACCGAGCAACGCCGCGUGAGUGAAGAAGGUUUUCGGAUCGUAAAGCUCUGUUGUAAGAGAAGAACGAGUGUGAGAGU